CGACCGCGUGAGCGAAGAAGGCCUUCGGUCGUAAAGCUCUGUUGUUAGGGAAGAACAAGUAUCGGAGUAACUGCCGGUACCUUGACGGUACCUAACCAGAAAGCCACGGCUAACUACGUGCCAGCAGCCGCGGUAAUACGUAGGUGGCAAGCGUUGUCCGGAAUUAUUGGGCGUAAAGCGCGCGCAGGCGGUCCUUUAAGUCUGAUGUGAAAGCCCACGGCUCAACCGUGGAGGGUCAUUGGAAACUGGGGGACUUGAGUGCAGAAGAGGAGAGUGGAAUUCCACGUGUAGCGGUGAAAUGCGUAGAGAUGUGGAGGAACACCAGUGGCGAAGGCGACUCUCUGGUCUGUAACUGACGCUGAGGCGCGAAAGCGUGGGGAGCAAACAGGAUUAGAUACCCUGGUAGUCCACGCCGUAAACGAUGAGUGCUAAGUGUUAGAGGGUUUCCGCCCUUUAGUGCUGCAGCUAACGCAUUAAGCACUCCGCCUGGGGAGUACGGCCGCAAGGCUG
Molecule: ribosomal RNA, 510 nt
Filed under: uncultured Bacillota bacterium
Lineage: Bacteria; Bacillati; Bacillota
Description: bacterial SSU rRNA
Rfam family: Bacterial small subunit ribosomal RNA
Source: RNAcentral